Molecule: long non-coding RNA, 4898 nt
Filed under: Bemisia tabaci
Lineage: Eukaryota; Metazoa; Arthropoda; Insecta; Hemiptera; Aleyrodidae
Description: lncRNA ENSSSA1NGG004683
Source: RNAcentral
AUGACUCACAAGCGUCCACAGGAAAUUGUCCACACCAAACUAAUUCUCAAGGCUAAAUUUGAACGAGUCGUGUCUUCCCUCCUUUUUCAUUAUCGAGAAAAAUUCUUCAGUAUUUGCAUUCGUAUGUUUGCAUGCAACUCACCCGAACGUGAAAAAUCACAAAGCAUCUUUUUUGACACGUACAGUUCGAUAGGUAUAGGAUAGGUUCUUAUGAUCGUUUCAAAGUUUUGGUCUGAUAAAGUCAUUCAGAGAUAUAUGACGGGCCCUUUUUAGUUUUAAUUGGUCAAAACUUUGUGUUUGCUAAAAAGAUUCCUAUUUUUUAUUGUAUUUCAAUUGAUAAAGUUAAAAAUGUAAUAAAAAAUAUAGAAUAGGUAUACAGUUGCCGCGUGAUGAUUGAAUUGAAGGAAAGAUUUUGCUCUCUGUUCACGUACAAAAGUUUUUAAUUCUCAGAAAACUGUGGAAUGUUUGAUUCAAAUUACAAGUGUUUUAUACUUUUGUCAUAAAGUUCAAAAUAUUUAAAUUAUGCAGGCUAAAAUUACUCCAACUUUUACUGGUUGACACUUAUGCGAGCAUUUGGCGCGUAUAUGUAUUUUUUAUAUGUAUUUCUAAAUUUGAGUUUAAUUUGUUCUCAAUAAUUGUAUGGAUACUUAAUGAUUAAGGUAAAAAUUUGUCAGUGCAAUAUGUAAAUAAAAUUCAAUAAAUAUUUUGGAGGUUACCCUAAGAACGAUGUCAAACUGUCUUUUUUUUUAAAAUAUAAAUUUCCUCUUUUGUCAAAAUGCCGUUAAUACCUACACAUCAAUAAUUUGGCGAACCUAACACACAAUCAUAUUGAUCAGUUGUGCGACUGAAAAUAGAUUAAAAAACGUUGCCCAUUUCUUUGAAAAUAGGCACAUGUAUCUACUUUUCUUCAUAAAAGUUAAGGGAAUAUCUCCAAAUGAAACAUACUCUAAUAAAUAAAGAGAGGCGUUAAAAAUCUUUCAAAAGUUUAUCAUAGAAUUAUCAUCAUCACAAACAAAUGAAUAUAAUUAUUCACUGAUUGAAAAAUCAAGCAGUAAUUGGCAAACAUUGGAAAUAUAUAAUUUCGUUACGAAUCUGGUUUUGGUCAUCUUGAAGCGAUGAUAUCGACCAGUGAAAACAAUGUUCUUAUAAAGUAAGAAAUAAAAGAGCAGAAUCAAAAAUAUUAUACCGAUUAGUAUAUAUUGAAACAGAUCGUGGUAACUGAUACUUCCUAUACCGUGACCAAAUUGGUCUUGUUUUGCGAAGAAGGGAAAUCGCUCAUUUUAGUCAUCGUUCCUGGUUUGAGUAAGUCAUUUAUGUUCAUCCGAAGUGAAAAUUUGCACAGAAUUACUUCAUUCAAAAUCAUUCACCAUUGACAUAAAAUUUCACUGAAGUAAAUGGUAUCUCCCGUUGUAUCAGCUCAUCAUGUACUAAAAAUGGGCAUGGGUAAAUAGCAUAUGAAAUAAACAUAUUAUUUAUAUAACUUUCAUUCCUGGAAAGUAAGAAUAGAGCCUGAGCGACAGCUAAGAGCAGACUCAUUGAUAAAUGGUCAAUGAGAUUUGUGACCAGAUUCAUCAAAAUCUUGAUAAAAUAAGUGAUAAUCACAAUGAAAGCCUGCAACAUUCAUCAUCAUAGAGAAUUCAUGUAAUGUAUUCACUUAUUGAAAAAUUAUAUAGUUUGCGAGCAUCAGAAUUGUACAAUUUUGUCACGAGUAUUUUCGUUAUCUCUGGGAGAACUGGGGCAUUGUAUUACGCAUUUGUAUAAACAGAAGCAGGAAACAAUCAUUAUUAUGGAACCGAUGAUUAUACACAAUUGUUGAAGUAAACUCUCAGUCAUUGUAAUCUUCACAAUUAUUAUUUAUCACACACACAUCUAAUACACAUUCCAUAAUGGUAAUAUUAGUUUUGUUUGAAGAUUGAAUAUCGUCCAUCAUUAAGAAUGUGAUUGGAGUUCAUUAAAUAUUCCAAAUUCGCGUAGAAUUGCUUCAUCCAAAAAAUAUGCAUCACUGUAAAAAUAUCUCACUUAAGAUAAAGUCGCGUGCAAUACUGUUAGAUUUUAUACUAGGAAUAUGCGAUAUGCAAGUCACUUUUCAACAUAUUAUACUUCAUUCCACUUUCAUUGCUUAGAAGGAAACCGGAACCGAGAGCAGACCCAUUGAUAAACUGUCAUUUGAAGUGGGGAUCAGAUGUAUCAAAAUCUUGAUAAAAUAAUCACGAUGGAGUGCCGUGACCAAAAUUAUGUCUGGAAUUGACUUUCGGGAAGUCGUUAGUGAACAAUCUUACUCGAAUUAUCAGAAAUCUGUUAGCUUGUGUGCGGGUUUUUAUUUAUUUCUGGAUUUCCAAGAAAUAAACGCUCCUCAUUUAAGGAGAAAGGUAAGAUGCCGAGUAUUCGGAUUUUUUUAAAUAUCAUUUUAAGAGUUAAUGAAAAUGAUGAGGUGCAGAGUUUGACAUGAUUCUUAUCAAUGAAUUUGCCUCGAAUUAGUUAACUUCCUCACUUAUCCUCAUAUACUCUUUACUUUUUGAGGUAAGUAGUACUGCAUGAUCUGUUACAUUUGUACCUAAAAAAUUAACGCAGCAGAGACAGAAAAAAUAUUGCGAAUUAAAGAAGUUGAUCCAACUGCAAAUACAUCCAGCUGCUUACAGAAAUUAGCUCUGCAUGGAUUGGAAAAACAUGAAAACAAAUUAAAGAAUAUUUUAUGAAUGCUUUCAAAUUGUACAGUUUUCUCUGCAGCAAACGAUACGAAAUAUAUUCUUUCAGACAUUGAGAUAUGCCUAGAUCUUCAACUCCUUAGCGUAAUUGUAAUUGCACACUAGAAUUUAUUCAUCCAAUACUAUUGAUUUUUUUGGGUUUUUUGUCGAUUUUUUCAUUUAAUCAUUUAUUAUCAAAACGGCCUCAAGCUCUGGGUGUGUUUUCAAUUAUCAAAAUCGGCUUUACCAGUGCCAUUAAAUUAGAAGAGAAUAGUUUGCAUUCUGUGGAUUUGCCUUCUUCACCAGAUUUUCAGUCCCGUUCCUAGACUAAGUAAAUAUUCUAACCUCAUAUUUUUGAAUUUUAUAUUUUAACUAGCUGUAUACCCGCGCCUUGCGCAAUAUUUUGAUUACCUACAGCCCCUCAGGCAGUUUUAGUCACUUUAGUAAUCUCAUCAUUGCCUCUCAAAAAUAAAUCCAAUUGCACAACGCUCGAAGACGUAUUGCGCUCAAUCAUUUCAGGAGCGUCAAUUUGAAUUUCCCGCUUCAAAUUUGAAUAUUUCCUUUUCGCGGGCGCGGGCUGCAUUCUGAUAGGUCACCGUUGUUAGUUGGUGUUGGGUCACCCUAAGGCUGAUGAUUGAUGAACUUCGUCGCUGGCGUGUGGACAUAAUUUUUUCCGCCAUAUUGUUUUUUUACGGAAUUUGUAUCAGCGUUGGCUCAAGCCUCCGGCAAUUAGACUUUUAAUUAAAUUUAGGGACUGUGAUUGCGUUACAAAUGUGUCGUUGAAAUUAAUUUAAUGGUUACUUUAAGUUUCUACGCCCACCAAGUUUCAUAGUGAGUAUCCUUGCCAUAACGUAAGUAAGAUGCGAGAGUUGGAUGCUGAAAGUUCACAUGGGGGUAGGGGAGUGGGUUCUCCCUACGAGAUUUUAGGUUUUGUCACAACUUUUGCUGACUCUCGCAUCGAAAUUUUACAUUAGCACGGACGGAUUAAUCCUCUCUCGUCGCUCUAAUAGCUCCUCACUCUGAAUAGUCGCAUUUUGUGUGGCUGCGAAAACCCCUAACCUCUACCUCUGGUUCUUGGUGAAUAAGUAGCGGGUCCUUCAACACACUUAUUUAUGAUCAUUUCCACAAUUAUGGCAUGAGAAGACGAAUGUAACAAUCGAGUUGCUGCAAGUGCUAUGGCAAUGUUUGAUUUUAUAGCUUCUAAGAAGCAAAGCGAAAUUGGUGAUUUCCAAACACGCUACCAAUUUGGAACCACUGAUUUUAGAAGCUCCAUAGGUCAUUCGAAAGCUCCAUAUUUAGAAUUUUCAUCGGUCUGCUGUGAGGCUGUGAAAUUUACUACGGUCGUUCCUCUCAUUUUGUAGCAGUGAGUCUUUGAGAUUAUCUUCUCUGUAAGUAGUUUAAUCAACAUGCUUGUUUGCAUGAUGCUGGAUAAGCCUUUGGUCUUCACACUGAGCUGAACCUCUCCUUGACAGUCAAGAUUCAAUAUAGUGGUUUACAGGGCAGAGAGCGAUCUGUAAAAGGGUGGUCAAUCUAGGAUAGUUGAUUUAUAUGUAAUGACGAGAAUAUACAAUCUUCACUCUUAUUGUUUUGUUGGCAAGGAGAAAAGUACCUAAAUCCCUCAUGUUUCUUCAUAGACGUUCAUUUUCUAACUAUUCAGCGCAACAAUUUUUAUGGCUCUUCGCAAUGCCAUCCCCAGCAAAAGAAGUUUGAACCAAAAUUUUUAUCGAAUGACACGAGCUUUGUUGAAGAAUUUCUCAAAGAAAUAAUGGAUUCGUCAACAAACCGAGAGAGAUAGUUGGCUCCUACCAGAAAAAUUUUUCAGCAAUGGGCAACUAAAGUGCUGACUGCCCUGUUAGAGUUUUGUUCACCUACCAUAUGCUCUCAUGUGCUCCCUCCAGAUCUGCGAUUUCCUUAAGAAAUCCACUACAGAGGUGUGGUCAGUUUAUAAAAAAAAACAAUUACCAUAACUCCGUAAAUGCCAUUGACUCUUUAUGACCACUUAAAACUUGACCAGUAGCAUUUACUUUUUUUGUAGUAGUAAGUACUAUUCUCUAAGGCAUUGAAAGAUACGCUAUUGAAUCUUGAGUUGUUGAUAAGUCUAGUUGAAUUGUUUCAUGCAAGCAGCAGUAGGUAACCUAUCGCAGUAACUUUUUUGCCAGUGGAAACUAAAGAGUUGAGCCAUGAUUAGAUACCCCUCAAUACUUUAAGUACUAA